CAUGCUCUAUUUCUAUUCAUUUUUGAAAAUCCUAUAUAAGCAUGGUGAAAGUUGAGAAGAGAUAUUCUCAACAGAAACACCUUUACCAUGGAGGCCAUGGAUUUCCUAUAAACAAAUAGCUCCAGUGAGUAAAAUUAUAAAUGGGUAGUCAUAAGACGUGUAAACAUACCUAAAGCAGAGCAUAUAGUUCAGGAAUAUUCUCCACAAGUGUCUCAAAUAAUCAGAUCCAAGCAACCAUGAGCAUGACAAAAUUAAGUAUUAGGUAUGUAUUGUUUCAUUUGAUAAUUCUAGGAUGUUUGUACUUCACAUCAGAGUUCAGUUGUUUCAACAUCUUUGUUUCUCUAAUGCAGCUACUACUACAUCCUGAAUCUGAUGAUUCAGCUCAACUUUCCUAGAUUGAGACUGAAAAGCUGCUAGCCCAGUUAGUUGAGACUGAGAUGAACAAACGUUUGAAGGAGGACACUUACAAAGGAAAGAAGUUUAAUGCAAUCUGUCACUUCUUGGGCUACCAAGCUAGGGGAGCACUGCCUUCAAAGUUUGAUUGCGAUUAUGCCUACGCAAGUCCCUCACCAGCUCAUUUAAUAAAGAAUAUUGAUUGUUGUUGGUUUAACACGUGGGUUAUUGG
Molecule: RNA transcript, 625 nt
Organism: Zea mays
Lineage: Eukaryota; Viridiplantae; Streptophyta; Magnoliopsida; Poales; Poaceae
Gene name: pyrophosphate--fructose 6-phosphate 1-phosphotransferase subunit alpha pseudogene
Exons: 3
Source: RefSeq, a predicted model, not a curated record